This 28-nucleotide non-coding RNA is filed under the name Rattus norvegicus (Norway rat). The record is from RNAcentral. Lineage: Eukaryota; Metazoa; Chordata; Mammalia; Rodentia; Muridae.
UACAUACCUAAAUGUACCUGCUCAGUUC